RNAcentral lists this ribosomal RNA (1567 nucleotides) under Russula pallescens. Its description in RNAcentral is "eukaryotic LSU rRNA". The stretch from base 600 to 1567 matches the Rfam family "Eukaryotic large subunit ribosomal RNA", at positions 1 to 943 of the family's 3401-position model. Lineage: Eukaryota; Fungi; Basidiomycota; Agaricomycetes; Russulales; Russulaceae. The record is from RNAcentral.
UUAGAGGAAGUAAAAGUCGUAACAAGGUUUCCGUAGGUGAACCUGCGGAAGGAUCAUUAUCGUGCAACAGAGGCGCGAGGGCUGUCGCUGACUUGAAAAGGUCGUGCACGCCUGAGCGCUCUCACGCAUCCAUCUCACCCCUUUGUGAACCACCGCGUGGGUCGUCCUUCGGGCGGCUUGCGUUUUUACAAAAACCCCAGUAUUAGAAUGUUUUACCGUUUGCGGUGACACGCAAUCAAUACAACUUUCAACAACGGAUCUCUUGGCUCUCGCAUCGAUGAAGAACGCAGCGAAAUGCGAUACGUAAUGUGAAUUGCAGAAUUCAGUGAAUCAUCGAAUCUUUGAACGCACCUUGCGCCCCUUGGUAUUCCGAGGGGCACACCCGUUUGAGCGUCGUGACUUCCUCAACCUUCUCGGUCUUUGCGAUCGGGAAAGGCUUGGACUUUGGGGGUUUUUGCUGGCCUCUCUCGAAGCCAGCUCCCCUUAAAUGGAUUAGUGGGGUUCGCUUUGCCGAUCCUCGACGUUGAUAAGAUGUUUCUACGUCUUGGGCUAGGCACCUGCUUCUAACCGUCUCGAGAGAGACAACGCGUUUUGGACCUUGACCUCAAAUCGGGUGAGACUACCCGCUGAACUUAAGCAUAUCAAUAAGCGGAGGAAAAGAAACUAACGAGGAUUCCCYYAGUAACUGCGAGUGAAGCGGGAAAAGCUCAAAUUUAAAAUCUGGUGGUCUUUGGCCAUCCGAGUUGUAAUUUAGAGAAGCGUCUUCCGCGCUGGACCGUGCACAAGUCUCCUGGAAUGGAGCGUCAUAGAGGGUGAGAAUCCCGUCUUUGGCACGGACCCCAGGGCUUCUGUGAUGCGCUCUCGAAGAGUCGAGUUGUUUGGGAAUGCAGCUCAAAAUGGGUGGUGAACUCCAUCUAAAGCUAAAUAUUGGCGAGAGACCGAUAGCGAACAAGUACCGUGAGGGAAAGAUGAAAAGCACUUUGGAAAGAGAGUGAAACAGUACGUGAAAUUGUUGAAAGGGAAACGCUUGAAGUCAGUCGCGUCGACCGAGACUCAACCUCGCCUCGGCUUGGUGUACUUCUCGGCCGACGGGUCAGCAUCAAUCUCGAUCCUCGGAUAAUGGCGAGGGAAAGGUGGCACCCUUGCGGGUGUGUUAUAGUCCCCUGUCGCAUGCGAGGGUCAGGAUUGAGGAACUCAGCGCGCGCCUCUCGGUGUCGGAGCGUUUCACGCUCACGUCACGCGCUUAGGAUGCUGGCGAUAAUGGCUUUAAACGACCCGUCUUGAAACACGGACCAAGGAGUCCAACAUGCCCGCGAGUGUUCGGGUGGAAAACCCGUGCGCGUAAUGAAAGUAAAAGUUGGGACCUCCGUCGUGGAGGGCACCGACGCCCGGACCAGACCUUCUGUGACGGAUCUGCGGUAGAGCGUGCAUGUUGGGACCCGAAAGAUGGUGAACUAUGCCUGAAUAGGGUGAAGCCAGAGGAAACUCUGGUGGAGGCUCGUAGCGAUUCUGACGUGCAAAUCGAUCGUCAAAUUUGGGUAUAGGGGCGAAAGACUAAUCGAACCAU